UGAGGAAUAUUGGUCAAUGGACGAGAGUCUGAACCAGCCAAAUCGCGUGAAGGAAGACUGCCCUACGGGUUGUAAACUUCUUUUGUACAGGAAUAAAAGACAUUACGUGUAAUGUAUUGCAUGUACUGUACGAAUAAGCAUCGGCUAACUCCGUGCCAGCAGCCGCGGUAAUACGGAGGAUGCGAGCGUUAUCCGGAUUUAUUGGGUUUAAAGGGUGCGCAGGCGGGAUUUUAAGUCAGCGGUGAAAUUUUCAGGCUCAACCUGAACACUGCCGUUGAAACUGGGAUUCUUGAGUAUGGAUGAAGUAGGCGGAAUUCGUUGUGUAGCGAUGACAUGCUUAGAUAUAACGAGGAACUCCGAUUGCGUAGGCAGCUUACUAAGCCAUAACUGACGCUCAAGCACGAAAGCGUGGGGAUCAAACA
RNAcentral lists this ribosomal RNA (422 nucleotides) under uncultured bacterium. RNAcentral describes it as "bacterial SSU rRNA". It matches the Rfam family "Bacterial small subunit ribosomal RNA", at positions 355 to 774 of the family's 1533-position model. The record is from RNAcentral.